This 254-nucleotide ribosomal RNA is filed under the name uncultured bacterium. Its description in RNAcentral is "partial 16S ribosomal RNA". It matches the Rfam family "Bacterial small subunit ribosomal RNA", at positions 524 to 776 of the family's 1533-position model. The record is from RNAcentral.
UACGAAGGGGGCGAGCGUUGUUCGGAUUUACUGGGCGUAAAGGGCGCGCAGGCGGUCAUUUUUUGUCGAGUGUGAAAGCCCCGGGCUUAACCUGGGAACUGCGCUCGAAACGGGAUGACUAGAGAUCGGGAGAGGAGAGUGGAAUUCCCAGUGUAGAGGUGAAAUUCGUAGAUAUUGGGAAGAACACCGGUGGCGAAAGCGGCUCUCUGGAACGGUACUGACGCUGAGACGCGAAAGCGUGGGGAGCGAACAGG